RNAcentral lists this unclassified non-coding RNA (220 nucleotides) under plant metagenome. RNAcentral describes it as "partial contains small subunit ribosomal RNA, internal transcribed spacer 1, and 5.8S ribosomal RNA". The record is from RNAcentral.
UUUCCGUAGGUGAACCUGCGGAAGGAUCAUUACAGAGUUCAUGCCCUCACGGGUAGAUCUCCCACCCUUGAAUAUUUAUACCUUAGUUGCCUUGGCAGGCCGUGGAAACACCAUGGGCUCCGGCUUAUGCGUGCCUGCCAGAGGAAACAAACUCUGUUUUUAGUGAUGUCUGAGUACUACACAAUAGUUAAAACUUUCAACAACGGAUCUCUUGGUUCUG